CGUCCAAAUAGCUGAAAACGGAGACGCAAACUCAUACACAACAAACUAUAUUCGACCGGUUCAUUGAUACAUGAUUGAAAGUUAUUCUUAAUUUUUUCAGUAUGAAGGUCCACAAACACCCUCUGCUUUGGGUCCCCGGGUCUGAGGUCUGUCUGCGCCUGAGUUACCCUCCACUCGCUAAUUAUUGUCUCGUCUUAGCAUUUGUGUUGAUGCAGAUUUCCUUCAGUCAUGGAAAAAAGUCUUUACGUGAGCAUCCUCUAAAGCUGCAGGAAAAAUUGUGUAGCAACAUCACAACAACACUGCUGCUAUGAGAGAAUUUGCAUUAUUUUGAAUAAACCCACAGAAAGAUCUCACAUUGAGUUCAACUGCAAUGAACUUUGAAAUGCCAAAGAGUCCAAACUAAUAAUAGCUGUGGCUGUUACCGACUGAGAAGAGCAGCUGGCAGCAGUUCAGCGAGUUUAUUCAUGAACGUGGGUUUGGGCGAGCGGCGAGACCGACCCGGAGGGGAAAGGUCGGAUCACAGAGACGAGAGAAACCCGACGGAUGUCCAGCACACGAUCCGGUCGCUUCCUGUUGACCCGAGUGUCCAUCUGAGGAAGUAACAUGCUGACCUCCAACCGGCUAAUAGGCCGAGGGGACAUAUCAGAUAUCAUAGUGUCCCUGGCAAACGGGGCGGCGGGUCUAAUUGGAGCCGGGCUGAUUAUCUCGGGCUGAGUGCCGUGAGACGAGGACGGAGACGGAGGGACCGGUAGCUCAACUGACAGGUGGUAGAACAGCAAUUAUAAAACUAAACUUUGUUGCCUCUCAGAAAGCAGGUCUUAUUUGUAACGAGUGAAGUGAUAAAAGAAGAAAAUAAUUGGAUUUUUUUUUCAGCCUCCAAGCCUUAAAUGUUUUCAGCAAAGAGUCUUUGAACAAAGUGUAUUUCAUUCUAACCUUUGAUUAACGGUUCCCGCACUCGAGGCCGAGCCGCAAAAAAGCAAAUUAUUCUCAAGAUCAAGCUUUAGCCAUCUCAUUAUCUUUUUGCCAUCUCUCCUCAGUUUGUUUCCCUUCACUCGCCCCGACCGGCGAUGUUGUCCGUCCUGUGGAUGUGCUGGUGUCGCUUUAGCGUCUGUUUGUGUUUUUGCCUUUGUCGCAGCAACGAGAAAGCUGUGUUUCAUUUUCUGGGGCCAAUUAGUGACUCACCGACCCGCCUUCACUGUCCGUGUGCGUUUGUUCUGAUCCGGUCUAAAACAAAGAUCUCGCUGGUGGGCGGGACUUGAACCCAGAUGGCCACAAGCCUUAACAAAGUUUUAGCUCGGCCAAAUGAAAAGUGUUCAAUGCGACUUGUCAACUUGUGUGGAGGAGCAGAGGCCGCUUGUGAAAGACCUGGGGUGAAAGGUCAGGUCCGACUGAGUCGGGAAAUACUUUCAAGAAAAAGUAAACUGACAGACUAAGAGACCAAUUUGCUUUUCUUACCACCUUUUCUUUUCUUGAGGGAAGAAGCGAGGCGCCACAGAUUGUGAAGCUACUUUUUUCAGAUGAUAGUUUAUCAUCUUUCAUUCCCGAUGUCUCAUCGUUUUGGCAGAUGCACAUUUUUACCUUCAGUGUGAGAAGUUCACCGGAUCAAAACCAGGUUUUUCAUGACUAAACUUGCGGACUGCGGAGGAGUGGCGCAAAGACCUGUCAAUCAGCGUGUAGCCCCGGCCUCGUCUGCCAUCCGCUGCUUCCUGGUCUGUUUUACUGUCAAUGGACCAUAAUUUACUGUUGUGAUGAAGAUGAACUAGAUAGAGAUGAAACUAGAGAUUGAGACCAUGAACUCAUGUUUACAAUGUUUACUGAGGGAAUAAAUCAAGAGAGAAGUAGAGUCAUUUCCUCAUAGACGUCUAUGGGAGCAGAGGAGUCGCCCCCUGCUGAUCACUACAGAGAAGUAGAGUCAUUUCCUCAUAGACGUCUAUGGGAGCAGAGGAGUCGCCCCCUGCUGGUCACUACAGAGAAGUAGAGUCAUUUCCUCAUAGACGUCUAUGGGAGCAGAGGAGUCGCCCCCUGCUGGUCACUACACAGAAGUAGAGUCAUUUCCUCAUAGACGUCUAUGGGAGCAGAGGAGUCGCCCCCUGCUGGUCACUACACAGAAGUAGAGUCAUUUCCUCAUAGACGUCUAUGGGAGAGAAUGCAGUAUUAAGAAAGGAAGCUUUGGAUCCACACGGUAGAACCGGAGGAUGCUCACUGUUCUGUUACACAACAAUAUAAUACUGAACUAUCAUUCAGAAGUGAUGAUCUACAUUCAUCUUCAAAAAGUAAAGUCAGAUGUUUUGUAGCUAUUUUUGACAAAAAACGUGAUGCUCUGCAGCUUCCUCAGACGCUCAGACAUUCAUCCCACCUGUGGGGAAUCAAGAGGAGAUUUUCUCAUCACUCCUCUGUGAGCUUCAGCUCUGCAAACACUCGUCUCCUCCGGCGGCUUCGGUCCGCUGCCGACACAAACCCGGCGUUCAUCUCCCCGCUCUUUAAUAUUUCAUCUGCUGCGAUAUGAUGAGCGAGGACCCGGCCGACUCACCUGCAGCCGCGUGGAGAAUCUCGGGGAAAAAGACUCAAGGAGUUUUAUUAUUCUUAUUUUAGCGUUCUGACUCUGACAGUUUCAUCUCUGAAUUAUUAAAAGCGCCGCUACCUGCAGCGAGUUCUCCUACACAUUCACCUCACGGUCAGCCGCUCAUUAAUUAAUCACAACGCUCGACUUAUGGAUUUUAAUAUCCUGAAUCAUUUAUGUGGAAGCUUUAUUUUAACCGCCUACAAACAUCUAAUCAAUAUAAGGAACUAUGACUCUGUGGAUAGAGAGUCUUAACUGUGAGAAGUCAACUCAACUUUGGGAGAGUUUUUAUUUACCACACAGACUCCCCCUUUUCUCCUGUUUGCUUCCAGUGAGGAGACGUACCGACCUUCUGCCUCUGCAAACAUCAGCUUCAAGACUUUUAGCCGCGCUGAUUAUUUUCCUGUGACCUCCUCUCGCGAGCGGCCGCGGACUGGGGAGGGGGGAGGAAACGGCGUCUCUCUGGCCCGCUAAAGGUCGCCGUCUCAUCUCCUCGUUCAGCCGCCUGUCUUCGAUCCGGGUCACAUCUCAGAGGGAACUCGCACUUCACGGACUCGUGAAACAUGAAGUGUUCACCAAACAUAUCGUUUGAAGAGGAGAACACGUCUGAAUGAGGUGAGAAGAUGAAUAAACCAGUCAGCGGAAGGAUUCGCUUUAGGAGGCUUUGAAGGACGCUCCUCUUAGCGCCUCCUGGUGUCUCCGGGCUGAAGGGGGAGUCCACCAACAGCCCCUCCGGUUACACGGACGCUUUGAACUGUGGGUAAUCGCUCAGUGAGGAGCCUGAAUGUGCUGAGAGUUCUCAUCAUCCCCCCUUAGCCGACCUCUCCGCUCAACCUUUGGAAGGGAACCCGACAGACCACUUGAUGCCCCCCCGGCUGGAUUACAGCACCAGCUUCCUCUUCGUCCUCCAGACGGUUCCUCUCAAAGGGAAAACCAGCGAGAACAAAGACGCUGCAGAGCAUCAUCUUCUCUUCUCGGGUCCUGCACACUUGAACUCGACGGCCUACAGCUCCUCCGCAGACCAAACCGAGGAUCCUCCAGAAAGAGCUCAGACGUUCAGGAGGAAGAAAAACACGGAAAUAAAGGAGCCUGAAGUGAAGCGAGAGGAAAGACAACGAUGUGAUGCAACGCUGGCGAGAUCUCAGCGAACACAAACAAUAAACCUUCGGCUCUGUCAGCAGAGUUCAGCGCAACACUCCCGUCUCUGUCUGCAAUAAGUUCUGCAAAGACAGAAGUACCUCACUCCAGCUGUGUCAGCAUUAAAGGUACUUGUAGUACCAGGAGUAAAGGCAGCCCUCCAGCAGAAGAAUAUACUGUAUUUUACAACAUUGUACAUCAAUUAUGUGUUCAUGCGUUCAUCAGCUGGAUGACGUUUCAUCACUUCAUGUAGUUCCGAGUUGCUUUUAAUUACCACAUGUUUGAUCUUUUCUAUUCAUACAAUUAAAUCAAACUAUAUUUUAUCUAAGUAACACAAGUUAAAUGUAGUGGAGUAAAAAGUACAUUAGUCCCCUCUAGGUUGAAGUAGCAGUAUGAAGUACAAGUACAGCACAUGAGUAAAUGCAUCAACAUCUUGUGUAAUCCUUUUCUUUGUGUUUGACCUUCAUCUAAACAUCACAUUAUUCUACUUUUAGAGUGAGAUUUAAAGUCUGAUUGAGUUCAGCGGCGAAUCGAGAGACGUUUUCACACGUCUGUGAUAAAGAAACACUCUGAUAAUAAACGUUGUUAGAUGAUGGUUUUCAUGUUUAUUAUCAAGUCUUUUUUAAGCAGCAGAAACCAGUCGGAAGUGAAAAUGUGUGCAGUGCUUCUGCUACGUGGCCCUGGGCCUCCUUUACCCCCCCAAUUACCCCCCCCCCUCCUCGGCUGAUUAUUGAAACUGUCCUCUGGGUGAGAACGUACAGCAAUAACACGCAAAAAAAGCCAAUUGGGUUAAACAACAAGCACAUUGGCCCCCGUGCUGGAGAAAGGGCAGAAUCUAAUAGUCAGGUAGCAAUAUGUGAGUGGAAUUACAGCAUUAGUUUUCAUCAGUGUCCCCCCAGCAGCGAGGGGGGGGGGCACAAAUCUAAUUGAGAGAGAACGCAUUAUCUCCGCCAUUGUUUGCAGGCUUUUCCUCUUUUCUCCGUCGCUGGUGAAACUUUGGGCGGCGCCGUUGUGAGGAGACGAGGAGGCGUUGUGAGGAGACGAGGCGGAGUUGUGAGGAGACGAGGCGGAGUUGUGAGGAGACAAGGAGGCAUUGUGAGGAGACGAGGCGGCGUUGUAAGGAGACGAGGUGGCGUUGUGAGGAGACGAGG
Molecule: long non-coding RNA, 4848 nt
Organism: Gasterosteus aculeatus aculeatus (three-spined stickleback)
Lineage: Eukaryota; Metazoa; Chordata; Actinopteri; Perciformes; Gasterosteidae
Source: Ensembl